RNAcentral lists this ribosomal RNA (426 nucleotides) under uncultured bacterium. RNAcentral's name for it is "partial 16S ribosomal RNA". It matches the Rfam family "Bacterial small subunit ribosomal RNA", at positions 354 to 796 of the family's 1533-position model. The record is from RNAcentral.
GUGAGGAAUUUUCCGCAAUGGGCGAAAGCCUGACGGAGCAAUGCCGCGUGAAGGAUGAAAGCCUAUGGGUUGUAAACUUCUUUUCUCAGAAAAGAAUUAUGACGGUAUCUGAGGAAUAAGCAUCGGCUAACUCUGUGCCAGCAGCCGCGGUAAGACAGAGGAUGCAAGCGUUAUCCGGAAUGAUUGGGCGUAAAGCGUCUGUAGGUUGUUUAAAAAGUAUUCUGUCAAAGAUUAGGGCUUAACCCUAGAUAGGCAGAAUAAACUUUUAAGCUAGAGUUUGGUAGAGGCAGAGGGAAUUCCCGGUGGAGCGGUGAAAUGCGUAGAUAUCGGGAGGAACACCAAAGGCGAAGGCACUCUGCUGGGCCAAUACUAACACUGAGAGACGAAAGCGAGGGGAGCAAAUGGGAUUAGAUACCCGUGUAGUCC